This 278-nucleotide unclassified non-coding RNA is filed under the name Hevea brasiliensis (rubber tree). The record is from RNAcentral. Lineage: Eukaryota; Viridiplantae; Streptophyta; Magnoliopsida; Malpighiales; Euphorbiaceae.
UACUCAUCCAAACUUGAAUGUGCUGCAAAUAACGUGAAAAGGAAAAGACAGUUCAAACUUGGUUUUAUUAAUGACGAGUAAAGAAUAGGUAAAUCCCCCAAAUCCCAAAUUUUCCAAGGAAAACUCUUAAUCAAGAUCAUUCCCAUAAUUAAAAUUCCCUCUUAGUUUGAUUCUUUACUUUCAACAAACCAAACCAGCAUCAAAGAAGAAAGAGCAAAACAGAAAGUCACAACAUAUCAUACAUUGAAAGAAACGAGGAACUGGAAGGAAAAAAAAAA